AAAAAAUAAUAUUAAUUAGAACUUUUUGCAUUUUGACCGAAAUCAAUUUAAUAAGAGUUAUUUUUGUUAAAAAUUUACAGUGUGGGAUGGUCUUACAUUCGAUAUCAGCACGCUUAUCCAUUGUUUGAUGUGGCUUACUUUUGGGUAUCUUAAAACUGUAGGAGUGCCGAACCUUGGAGGGAAAUAUACAGCGGAAGCAUAGUUAAGCGAAACGGUAAUUAUAAAGGAAAACGCUGUGAAACAGAUUUCAUAGUGGGAAAGUUAAGCUAAAAAUGUCACGUUUACCAAAAGACAUUUCUUUAACCGAAGAGAAAGAGUCCUUGUUUAGGGUCAUAUAAUCUGUAUAAAAUUAACUGCAAUUUCAUUCUCCCCCGCUAUUUUAUUGGCAUGUUCAUGAAUUGUAACAAGCG
This is a long non-coding RNA of Hylaeus volcanicus, 410 nucleotides long. RefSeq lists it as uncharacterized. Lineage: Eukaryota; Metazoa; Arthropoda; Insecta; Hymenoptera; Colletidae. The transcript has 5 exons. The record is from RefSeq and is a predicted model, not a curated record.